CCUACGGGCGGCAGCAGUGGGGAAUAUUGGACAAUGGGCGAAAGCCUGAUCCAGCCAUGCCGCGUGUGUGAAGAAGGCCUUCGGGUUGUAAAGCACUUUCAGUGGGGAAGAAAGCCUUGGGGCUAAUACCCUCGAGGAAGGACAUCACCCACAGAAGAAGCACCGGCUAACUCCGUGCCAGCAGCCGCGGUAAUACGGAGGGUGCGAGCGUUAAUCGGAAUUACUGGGCGUAAAGCGCGCGUAGGCGGUCUGAUAAGCCGGUUGUGAAAGCCCCGGGCUCAACCUGGGAACGGCAUCCGGAACUGUCAGGCUAGAGUGCAGGAGAGGAAGGUAGAAUUCCCGGUGUAGCGGUGAAAUGCGUAGAGAUCGGGAGGAAUACCAGUGGCGAAGGCGGCCUUCUGGACUGACACUGACGCUGAGGUGCGAAAGCGUGGGUAGCAAACAGGAUUACAUACCCCGGUAGUC
Molecule: ribosomal RNA, 465 nt
Filed under: Vreelandella stevensii
Lineage: Bacteria; Pseudomonadati; Pseudomonadota; Gammaproteobacteria; Oceanospirillales; Halomonadaceae
Description: partial 16S ribosomal RNA
Rfam family: Bacterial small subunit ribosomal RNA
Source: RNAcentral